Long non-coding RNA from Ostrinia nubilalis (European corn borer), 356 nucleotides. RefSeq lists it as uncharacterized. The record is from RefSeq and is a predicted model, not a curated record. Lineage: Eukaryota; Metazoa; Arthropoda; Insecta; Lepidoptera; Crambidae. The transcript has 3 exons.
ACCAAUCGUUUUCGUUGAACCUAAACUUAUUGCUGAAUUAACGAUAAUUUCCCUUUAAAUUUGGAGGUUCGCACCAAGAGCUUCAUUCUGUAUUUCGAAGUGCUCCUGCAUUAGAAUCGGCUCCAGUAAAGUCAUUUCUUCGAGGAAUCAUCAUCAUCAGUGACGUAAAUAAAAUUGUGAGUGUUCAACAUGUCUGAUUCAGAGUUAGAAUUUUUCGAGCCUGAACGCAAACCAAAGACGAAGCGAAAGUCUGCGAGUAGAUCCAAAGAGUCUAUCAGAGCUGGUUCUUCUAAGAAACCCAGACACACAGGGAAGCUCCAAGAGACGUUGGAUAUACUGGGCUUGCUGUCGGAAGA